UUAUUAUAUUUGUGACAAACUGACAUGACUGUAUGUCUCUAAAGCACAUUGUGAGAGAGGUGGAGAUAGAGUGAGUUGUUGUUUGUUGUUCUCUGCAGAGGAUUUCCUGUAUCUCAUGUUAGGUAUGGUCGUACUUCCUGAGUUCUUGUCUGGGCGAGAUGUCUGGGCAACAUCACGCUAGUUCACAAUGCCACCCAGUAAUGGACUGCUCUUCAAGACCUUCAGUGUUUUGCUGCUAAUACAGAACUGUGAAGUUUGCGUUGCAGAGCAGUCAGAGUUGAUUUGUUCACAUCAACCAAUUGUAGCCCUGGCUGGUGAUGAUGUCAUUCUACCAUGUUACCUUGAUCCUCCAAUCAGUGCCAGUUCUGAGACAGUGGAGUGGA
This is a long non-coding RNA of Dicentrarchus labrax (European seabass), 383 nucleotides long. RefSeq lists it as uncharacterized. Lineage: Eukaryota; Metazoa; Chordata; Actinopteri; Moronidae. The transcript is spliced from 3 exons. The record is from RefSeq and is a predicted model, not a curated record.